RNAcentral lists this ribosomal RNA (254 nucleotides) under uncultured bacterium. RNAcentral's name for it is "partial 16S ribosomal RNA". It matches the Rfam family "Bacterial small subunit ribosomal RNA", at positions 524 to 776 of the family's 1533-position model. The record is from RNAcentral.
UACGUAGGGGGCAAGCGUUAUCCGGAUUUACUGGGUGUAAAGGGAGCGUAGACGGCAUGGCAAGUCAGAAGUGAAAGCCCGGGGCUCAACCCCGUGGACUGCUUUUGAAACUGCUAGGCUAGAGUGCAGGAGAGGUAAGUGGAAUUCCUAGUGUAGCGGUGAAAUGCGUAGAUAUUAGGAGGAACACCAGUGGCGAAGGCGGCUUACUGGACUGUAACUGACGUUGAGGCUCGAAAGCGUGGGGAGCACACAGG